RNAcentral lists this ribosomal RNA (775 nucleotides) under uncultured bacterium. Its description in RNAcentral is "bacterial SSU rRNA". It matches the Rfam family "Bacterial small subunit ribosomal RNA", at positions 8 to 796 of the family's 1533-position model. The record is from RNAcentral.
AGAGUUUGAUCAUGGCUCAGGACGAACGCUGGCGGCGUGCUUAACACAUGCAAGUCAAGGGGGCCCAGCAAUGGGCAACCGGCGAACGGGUGCGUAACACGUGAGCAACCUACCGAACUGUGGGGGAUAGCCGGCCUAACGGCCGAGUAAUACCGCAUACGCUCUCAGAGAGGCAUUUUUUUGAGAGGAAACCUACGGGACAGAUCGAGGGGCUCGCGGCCUAUCAGCUAGUUGGCGAGGUAACGGCUCACCAAGGCAACGACGGGUAGCUGGUCUGAGAGGAUGGCCAGCCACAUUGGGACUGAGAUACGGCCCAGACUCCUACGGGAGGCAGCAGUGGGGAAUCUUGCGCAAUGGCCUAACGGCUGACGCAGCGACGCCGCGUGUGGGAUGAAGCUCCUCGGAGUGUAAACCACUGUUGCCCGGGACGAAUAGCUCGAUUAAUCGAGCCUGACGGUACCGGGUGAGGAAGCACCGGCUAACUCCGUGCCAGCAGCCGCGGUAAUACGGGGGGUGCGAGCGUUGUCCGGAAUCACUGGGCGUAAAGGGCGCGUAGGUGGUUUGAUAAGGGUGUGGUGAAAGUCCGGGGCUCAACCCCGGAUCUGCCGUGCCGACUGUCAAACUCGAGGGCUGUAGAGGCAGGCGGAAUUCCGGGUGUAGCGGUGGAAUGCGUAGAGAUCCGGAGGAAGACCGGUGGCGAAGGCGCUCUGGGCAGUUUCUGACACUGAUGCGCGACAGCGUGGGGAGCAAACAGGAUUAGAUACCCUAGUAGUCC